UUCUUGGUGGCUGAGAUUGUAAAGAAUUUGCCUGCAAUGCAAGAGACCCAGGUUCGAUCUCUGGGUUAGAAG
This 72-nucleotide transfer RNA is filed under the name Bos taurus (domestic cattle). It matches the Rfam family "tRNA". Rfam says of the family: Transfer RNA (tRNA) molecules are approximately 80 nucleotides in length. The record is from Rfam by way of RNAcentral. RNAcentral also lists the same sequence under 4 other names. Lineage: Eukaryota; Metazoa; Chordata; Mammalia; Artiodactyla; Bovidae.